This 484-nucleotide ribosomal RNA is filed under the name uncultured bacterium. RNAcentral describes it as "partial 16S ribosomal RNA". It matches the Rfam family "Bacterial small subunit ribosomal RNA", at positions 30 to 507 of the family's 1533-position model. The record is from RNAcentral.
AUUGAACGCUGGCGGCAGGCCCAACACAUGCAAGUCGAGCGGAUGAAGGGAGCUUGCUCCUGGAUUCAGCGGCGGACGGGUGAGUAAUGCCUAGGAAUCUGCCUGGUAGUGGGGGAUAACGUCCGGAAACGGGCGCUAAUACCGCAUACGUCCUGAGGGAGAAAGUGGGGGAUCUUCGGACCUCACGCUAUCAGAUGAGCCUAGGUCGGAUUAGCUAGUUGGUGGGGUAAAGGCCUACCAAGGCGACGAUCCGUAACUGGUCUGAGAGGAUGAUCAGUCACACUGGAACUGAGACACGGUCCAGACUCCUACGGGAGGCAGCAGUGGGGAAUAUUGGACAAUGAGCGAAAGCCUGAUCCAGCCAUGCCGCGUGUGUGAAGAAGGUCUUCGGAUUGUAAAGCACUUUAAGUUGGGAGGAAGGGCAGUAAGUUAAUACCUUGCUGUUUUGACGUUACCAACAGAAUAAGCACCGGCUAACUUCGUG